AACGAACGCUGGCGGCAUGCCUAACACAUGCAAGUCGAACGAGACCUUCGGGUCUAGUGGCGCACGGGUGCGUAACGCGUGGGAACCUGCCCUUAGGUUCGGAAUAACUCCCCGAAAGGGGUGCUAAUACCGGAUAAUGUCUUCGGACCAAAGAUUUAUCGCCUUUGGAUGGGCCCGCGUUGGAUUAGCUAGUUGGUAGGGUAAAAGCCUACCAAGGCGACGAUCCAUAGCUGGUCUGAGAGGAUGAUCAGCCACACUGGGACUGAGACACGGCCCAGACUCCGACGGGAGGAAGCAGGGGGGAAUAUUGGACAAGGGGCGAAGGCCUGAUCCAGCAAUGCCGCGUGAGUGAUGAAGGCCGUAGGGUUGUAAAGCUCUUUUCCCCGGGAUGAUAAUGACGGUACCGGAAGAAUAAGCCCCGGCUAACUCCGUG
This 433-nucleotide ribosomal RNA is filed under the name uncultured bacterium. Its description in RNAcentral is "partial 16S ribosomal RNA". It matches the Rfam family "Bacterial small subunit ribosomal RNA", at positions 29 to 507 of the family's 1533-position model. The record is from RNAcentral.